This 253-nucleotide ribosomal RNA is filed under the name uncultured bacterium. Its description in RNAcentral is "partial 16S ribosomal RNA". It matches the Rfam family "Bacterial small subunit ribosomal RNA", at positions 524 to 776 of the family's 1533-position model. The record is from RNAcentral.
UACGUAGGGUCCGAGCGUUGUCCGGAAUUACUGGGCGUAAAGAGCUCGUAGGUGGUUUGUCGCGUUGUUCGUGAAAAUUCACAGCUUAACUGUGGGCGUGCGGGCGAUACGGGCAGACUGGAGUACUGCAGGGGAGACUGGAAUUCCUGGUGUAGCGGUGGAAUGCGCAGAUAUCAGGAGGAACACCGGUGGCGAAGGCGGGUCUCUGGGCAGUAACUGACGCUGAGGAGCGAAAGCGUGGGGAGCGAACAGG